GAUGAACGCUGGCGGCGUGCCUAACACAUGCAAGUCGAACGGAGUCGUUUUGGAAAUCUCUUCGGAGAUGGAAUUCUCGACUUAGUGGCGGACGGGUGAGUAACGCGUGAGCAAUCUGCCUUUAAGAGGGGGAUAACAGUCGGAAACGGCUGCUAAUACCGCAUAAAGCAUUAAAUUCGCAUGUUUUUGAUGCCAAAGGAGCAAUCCGCUUUUAGAUGAGCUCGCGUCUGAUUAGCUAGUUGGCGGGGUAACGGCCCACCAAGGCGACGAUCAGUAGCCGGACUGAGAGGUUGAACGGCCACAUUGGGACUGAGACACGGCCCAGACUCCUACGGGAGGCAGCAGUGGGGAAUAUUGCGGAAUGGGGGAAAACCUGACGCAGCAACGCCGCGUGAUUGAAGAAGGCCUUCGGGUUGUAAAGAUCUUUAAUCAGGGACGAAACAAAUGACGGUACCUGAAGAAUAAGCUCCGGCUAACUACGUG
This 483-nucleotide ribosomal RNA is filed under the name uncultured bacterium. RNAcentral describes it as "partial 16S ribosomal RNA". It matches the Rfam family "Bacterial small subunit ribosomal RNA", at positions 28 to 507 of the family's 1533-position model. The record is from RNAcentral.